Molecule: long non-coding RNA, 2491 nt
Organism: Nelumbo nucifera (sacred lotus)
Lineage: Eukaryota; Viridiplantae; Streptophyta; Magnoliopsida; Proteales; Nelumbonaceae
Source: RefSeq, a predicted model, not a curated record
UGUAGAUGAAAUUGCAGAGUGGAGGAAACCAACAGUUCACGCAGGAGAUGAAAUUGGCAAGUAUUCAACUAACAAUGCACACAGAUACUCAUUAGUGAAUAUUGAACCAAGUUUUCAAAUAUAAACGCCACCACAACGUCUACAUUUUCCACAACAGAAGAGCAUUCAAACUUUGCAACUUCACUGAAUCCAUACUUCUCAAUGAAUCCAACUCUACCUCCUUCAUGCUCAAUGGUGCCCAUUAGUAUACCUGGCUAUGCCUACUUUUCUUUCAACAACGACUCACUGAAAAGCCUGUUCAGAGGCUGAGAAGCUCGCCAUAAGGGUAUUGCCAACUCCGCUGGGUAACUUGGCUCCGGUGCCGGAGUCUCCACCACUAGCACUAGCAGCUCUGCCACUGACUCUAGCGGGAUUGUCUCAUCCACUCUAACGUGCCAUUGGUUGUUCCAUUCUCAUCGAUAAAACUCAUCAAGCUCGGCACCGACUGCAAGCUCUCCAGCGACAACGAUUCCGUCUAUGUUGCCAGAUACAGAAGGCGACGUGUACCGACGGUGCAUCCAUCGCCGGUGGACGAUGGAACAGGGGAGAGCGGAGGAGGCAGGGAGAGAGCGAGAGAGAAGAAAAGGGAGUGCAAGAAGGUCGAAUAUAAAGAAAAUAGAAAUUUGAACCCAAGUGUAUGUUUAUAACAAUUGACUAAGUGUACUUUACUGUUAAUCGUUAAACAGUAAUCCCUCUCAGACUUCGAUGUUUAUCUUUAAUCGUAAUCCCUCUCAGACUAAGUGUAUGUUUAUAACAUCGAUGUUUAUCUUUAAUCGUUAAACAUCGUUGGAAAAGAUAAAAUACCUAUUUUAACUUUACAUUUUUGUCCUUAAUUUUAACUUAACACAUAAUCCCUCUCAGGUGUUAAUCCCUCUCGGACACUCGCUUCAUCUGUCGAAAGGGAAGAGGGAGGAGCGCCAUCCAUUGACGCGACCAUCGCCAACAACGACGGUUGCUGCAAAUACCGAAAGGCGGAGGUCGGUGAGUUUUUUUUCACCAAGAAUAGAUCCAUGCCUAUUAUCUCGCCGGUGCAAGUGGAGCUGAAUCCCGAGAUUCCGAGGAAUGUCGUCGGAACUUGUAAUUACAUUUUUUAUCUACCUUAUGAAUGCUUGGCCUGCAUUUUCUAGUCCCUUGGCUCCGGCAAUCGUAAAAGCUGUUCUCUAGUCUGUCGGCAAUGGUUUCAAGUUGAAGGACACAGCCGACACCGUCUAUCGCUCAAGGCAGAAUCCAAUCUACAACUUUCGAUUCCCUCUAUUUUCCCUCGGUUUGAUGCUGUAACCAAACUGACAUUGAAGUGCGACCAACGAUCCGUCAACAUCGGUGACAAGGUUCUUGUCCAAAUCUCUUUGUGUUGCCGAAACCUUACACAACUCAAACAUCGUGCUUGUCACGACUUGACCGACAUAGGCAUGGAGGCCUUCGCUAAGAACUGCAAGGGUUUGAAGAAGCUUUCCUGUGGCUCCUGCGUGUUUGGUUCCAAGGGAAUGAAUGCCAUCCUAGAUCACUGUUUUGCUCUCAAAGAGUUGUCUUUUUGCCAAAGACAUUGUGGCAUUUCUUCUGGUGGUGAAGAUCAAGCCGUUGAGAGAGAUGGUAAUGAAGGGCCUCGCCACAGCUCUCUACUGCCGAUACUCUUCGCCCAAGUCCUUCAAAUAAUUUCCAACCUACCGCCGAUCUUGCCACGAAGGUGCCAGUGCUGGAGGGGGUCGAUGUAGAUAACGAUGGCAGAGCCGAACCCGACCCCAAUGAUUCUUCCUAUUGAUCGUAAAACGCCUCCACCCUUGCUCCGACUAUUUUUCUCUGUAAGGGUUUACAGAUCGGGAGUGAACCAGAUCUGUUCAGAUCCACUCAGAUCUACUACAAUGGCAAUCGAACUCUAUUACUAUUACUAGGAGACUUCAGAACUUUUAGUGCUAGUAGUGAAAUUCAUUCCUCACAAAGAUGAUUCAGUUACUGUUCCUAGAUCUUUUUGCCUAAGGCAUUUUAGCAUUUCUUCCGUUGGUGAAGAUCAAGCCGUUGAGAGAGCUGGUAAUGAAGGGCCUUGCCACCGCUCUCUGUUGCCAAUACUCUUCGCCAAGCCCUUCAAACAAUCUCCAACCUACCGCCGAUUACUGGCGAUCUUGCCACGAAGGUGCCGAUACCAGAGGGGGUCGAUGUAGACGACGGUGGCAGAGCUAAACCCAACCCCAACGAUUCUUCCUGUUAAUUGAAAAACGCCUCCACCCUUGCACCAACUCUUUUUCUCUGUAAGGGUUUUCAGGCGAACACCUGAUAUGCGAAGAGGGGAGGUGGAGAAGGAAAACUUAGAGAAGGGGGCGGAGGAAGAAAUCACCACCGCUAUUGGAAGUUGCAGCAGCGACGGUGAUUUUACUGUUGGAAAUGCUGAAGAAAUCACCAAAAAAAGAGUUUUAUGGGAGAGUUUCUAAAGAAAAGUUUUAUUUCUUUUUUCAAAUUU